Molecule: long non-coding RNA, 802 nt
Filed under: Marmota monax (woodchuck)
Lineage: Eukaryota; Metazoa; Chordata; Mammalia; Rodentia; Sciuridae
Source: RNAcentral
AUGUAAAUACUGUGGCUGGAAGGCAGGAUCAAAACCAUUCCCUGAACAGAAAUGUUAAUCCUUUUAUUGCCAAGGGGAAAGAACAGUUUAGCAUGUAGGGCAACUGCAAGCAUUUUUACAUUAAGCAGAAUCUUGUAUCUGUUUUGUGUGAUUGAGACUGUCUACAAGUAACAGGUAAAGGCCAAAGGUCUAUAGAAUUUCUAGAGAUCCCUGUUUAAAUAUCAGUCCUAUCAAAGAGGUUUGCAGAAAUCACUGUUCUGAUGAUGGUCACAACUAAAAUCAAAUGUAGUGUUUCAUCCACAUUAACUAUGUCAGGGGUUAAGUACUUGUUUCUCUAUUUGUCUCUCUCUCUAUAUAUGCAGAUUGUAUAGGUUAGUGUCUCAUUACUGCAAUGAAAUACCUGAGGCAAACUAACUUUAUUAUAAAAAAAAAAAAAGAGGCUUAUUUCGCUCACCAUGUUGAAGUGUAAGGGCACGGUGCUGGGUCAGUUCAGUUCUGGUGAUGACUGUCUUGUUGCCAGAGUUUCCAGUUUGAUGAUGGCACCACAUAGCAAGAGACAGGGUGUCUGGGUAUCUGGUCUUUCUCCCUCUUCUUAUAAGACCACCAGGAUUAAUCAUGGGCUUCACCCUAGUGAGCUUAUCUAAACCUAAUUGCUUUCCAAAUGCCCUAACUCUAAACACAAUAGUCCAAGUUUCGACCCUCUUAAUACUAUGAACACAUGGCUUCUGGAGUUAAAUCCUUGCACAAGAUGAGGGCCGGGGGAAAGCCAUAUUCAUGCCAUAACACAUCUGUAAGACUUCAG